AGUGAACGCUGGCGGUAGGCCUAACACAUGCAAGUCGAACGGCAGCACAGUAAGAGUUGCUCUUACGGGUGGCGAGUGGCGGACGGGUGAGGAAUACAUCGGAAUCUACUUUUUCGUGGGGGAUAACGUAGGGAAACUUACGCUAAUACCGCAUACGACCUACGGGUGAAAGCAGGGGAUCUUCGGACCUUGCGCGAUUGAAUGAGCCGAUGUCGGAUUAGCUAGUUGGCGGGGUAAAGGCCCACCAAGGCGACGAUCCGUAGCUGGUCUGAGAGGAUGAUCAGCCACACUGGAACUGAGACACGGUCCAGACUCCUACGGGAGGCGGCAGUGGGGAAUAUUGGACAAUGGGCGCAAGCCUGAUCCAGCCAUACCGCGUGGGUGAAGAAGGCCUUCGGGUUGUAAAGCCCUUUUGUUGGGAAAGAAAAGCAGCAGGUUAAUACCCCGCUGUUCUGACGGUACCCAAAGAAUAAGCACCGGCUAACUUCGUG
Molecule: ribosomal RNA, 491 nt
Filed under: uncultured bacterium
Lineage: Bacteria
Description: partial 16S ribosomal RNA
Rfam family: Bacterial small subunit ribosomal RNA
Source: RNAcentral